GCUGUAAUGAUGAUCCCCAUGCGUGUCAACUGACUCCGGAGUCUCCUGUGCUCCUCUGCCACGUCUCAGCGUUCUGUUGCGGUGUGUACAGGGUUCACAGCUCUCUGGAGGCAUGAUCUGACCUCACUGACCUGACCACAGC
Small nucleolar RNA from Ictalurus punctatus (channel catfish), 142 nucleotides. Ensembl annotates it as Small nucleolar RNA SNORD10. Its record names the gene SNORD10. Lineage: Eukaryota; Metazoa; Chordata; Actinopteri; Siluriformes; Ictaluridae. The record is from Ensembl.